ACUUAAAUUGAAGAGUUUGAUCAUGGCUCAGAUUGAACGCUGGCGGCAGGCCUAACACAUGCAAGUCGAGCGGUAGCACAGAGAGCUUGCUCUCGGGUGACGAGCGGCGGACGGGUGAGUAAUGUCUGGGAAACUGCCUGAUGGAGGGGGAUAACUACUGGAAACGGUAGCUAAUACCGCAUAACGUCGCAAGACCAAAGUGGGGGACCUUCGGGCCUCAUGCCAUCAGAUGUGCCCAGAUGGGAUUAGCUAGUAGGUGGGGUAACGGCUCACCU
Molecule: ribosomal RNA, 275 nt
Filed under: Klebsiella pneumoniae subsp. pneumoniae KPNIH20
Lineage: Bacteria; Pseudomonadati; Pseudomonadota; Gammaproteobacteria; Enterobacterales; Enterobacteriaceae
Description: partial 16S ribosomal RNA
Rfam family: Bacterial small subunit ribosomal RNA
Source: RNAcentral